AUUGAACGCUGGCGGCAGGCCUAACACAUGCAAGUCGAGCGGAUGAAGGGAGCUUGCUCCUGGAUUCAGCGGCGGACGGGUGAGUAAUGCCUAGGAAUCUGCCUGGUAGUGGGGGAUAACGUCCGGAAACGGGCGCUAAUACCGCAUACGUCCUGAGGGAGAAAGUGGGGGAUCUUCGGACCUCACGCUAUCAGAUGAGCCUAGGUCGGAUUAGCUAGUUGGUGGGGUAAAGGCCUACCAAGGCGACGAUCCGUAACUGGUCUGAGAGGAUGAUCAGUCACACUGGAACUGAGACACGGUCCAGACUCCUACGGGAGGCAGCAGUGGGGAAUAUUGGACAAUGGGCGAAAGCCUGAUCCAGCCAUGCCGCGUGUGUGGAGAAGGUCUUCGGACUGUAAAGCACUUUAAGUUGGGAGGAAGGGCAGUAAGUUAAUACCUUGCUGUUUUGACGUUACCAACAGAAUAAGCACCGGCUAACUUCGUG
Molecule: ribosomal RNA, 484 nt
Filed under: uncultured bacterium
Lineage: Bacteria
Description: partial 16S ribosomal RNA
Rfam family: Bacterial small subunit ribosomal RNA
Source: RNAcentral